UGAAGGAAAUUCCCGAAAUUUGUUGGGAAAAUUCCCAAAACUUGAAAGAAAAUUCCAGAAUUUGAAGGAAAAUCCCAAAAUUUGGUGGGAAAAUCCCAAAAUUUGGUGGGAAAAUCCCAAAAUUUGAAGGAAAAUCUCCAAAACUUGGAGGAAAAUUCCGAAACUUGAAAGAAAAUUCCAGAAUUUGAAAGAAAAUCCCCAAAAUUUGAAAGAAAACCCCAGAAUUUGAAGGAAACUUCCCAAAAUUUUAUGGAAAUUCCCAGAAUUUGUUGGGAAUUCCCCGGAAUUUUCUGGAAUCCCCGGAAUUUUCCAGAACUCCCAGAACUUUCUGGAAAUCCUCGGAACUUUCCGGAACUCCUGGAACUUUCUGGAACUUUCUGGAACUCCCGGAAUUUUCUGGAAAUCCCCAGAAUUUUCCGGAAAUCCCCAGAAUUUGUUGGGAAUUCUGGAACUUUCCGGAACUCCCGGAAUUUUCUGGAACUCCCGGAAUUUUCUGGAACUCCCGGAAUUUUCUGGAAUUCCCGGAAUUUUCUGGAAAUCCCCGGAAUUUUCCGGAACUCCCCAGAAUUUGUUGGGAACCCCCGGAACUUUCCAGAACUCCCGGAAUUUUCCGGAACCCCCGGAAUUUUCUGGAAUUCCCGGAACUUUCCGGAAUCGCCGCUUUCAC
This 667-nucleotide long non-coding RNA is filed under the name Cyanistes caeruleus (blue tit). RNAcentral describes it as "lncRNA (ENSCCEG00000002233.1)". The record is from RNAcentral. Lineage: Eukaryota; Metazoa; Chordata; Aves; Passeriformes; Paridae.